GAUUAUGGCUCAGGAUUAACGCUGGCGGCGUGCCUAAUACAUGCAAGUCGAAUGGUAGUAGCAAUACAAACCAUGGCGAACGGGUGAGUAACACGUAGGCAACCUGACUUUAAGACGAGGAUAACCGUUGGAAACGACGGAUAAUACUGGAUAGGACAUCACAAAGGGCAUCCUUAGAUGUUUAAAGGUUAUUAUGCCACUUAGAGAGGGGCCUGCGGCGCAUUAGCUAGUUGGUGAGAUAACAGCCCACCAAGGCGAUGAUGCGUAGCCGGACUGAGAGGUUGAACGGCCACAAUGGAACUGAGAACGGUCCAUACUCCUACGGGAGGCAGCAGUAGGGAAUUUUCGGCAAUGGGCGCAAGCCUGAACCCGAGCAACGCCGCGUGAACGAAGAAGUUAUUCGUAAUGUAAAGUUCUUUUAUCUGGGAAGAAAAAACAAAUUGACGGUACCAGAUGAAUAAGCUCCGGCUAACUACGUGCCAGCCGCUGC
Molecule: ribosomal RNA, 490 nt
Filed under: uncultured bacterium
Lineage: Bacteria
Description: bacterial SSU rRNA
Rfam family: Bacterial small subunit ribosomal RNA
Source: RNAcentral